This 253-nucleotide unclassified non-coding RNA is filed under the name uncultured delta proteobacterium. Its description in RNAcentral is "contains 16S-23S intergenic spacer region". It matches the Rfam family "Bacterial small subunit ribosomal RNA", at positions 524 to 776 of the family's 1533-position model. Lineage: Bacteria; Deltaproteobacteria. The record is from RNAcentral.
UACGGAGGGUGCAAGCGUUGUUCGGAUUUACUGGGCGUAAAGCGUGUCUAGGCGGGUCUUCAAGUCAGGUGUGAAAGCCCCCGGCUCAACCGGGGAGGGUCACUUGAUACUGAGGAUCUUGAGUUUUGGAGAAGUGGGCGGAAUUCCCAGUGUAGAGGUGAAAUUCGUAGAUAUUGGGAGGAACACCGGCGGCGUAAGCGGCUCACUAGCCAAACACUGACGCUCAAGCACGAAAGCGUGGGUAGCAAACAGG